GAUGAACGCUAGCGGCAGGCCUAACACAUGCAAGUCGAGGGGCAGCACAGGUAGCAAUACUGGGUGGCGACCGGCGGAUGGGUGCGUAACGCGUAUGCAACCUACCAUUGAUUGGGGCAUAGCCCGAAGAAAUUCGGAUUAAUACUCCAUAAUAUUCAUCAAAGGCAUCUUUUAUGAAUUAAAGCUUUUGCGAUCAAUGAUGGGCAUGCGUGACAUUAGUUAGUUGGUGAGGUAACGGCUCACCAAAAACGAUGAUGUCUAGGGGUUCUGAGAGGAUUAAUCCCCCACACUGGUACUGAGACACGGACCAGACUCCUACGGGAGGCAGCAGUGAGGAAUAUUGGUCAAAUGGACGCAAGUCUGAAACCAGCCAAUGCCGCGUGCAGGAUGACGGCCCUAUGGGUUGUAAACUGCUUUUCCAACGGGAAGAACCCCUCCGACGUGUCGGAGACUGACGGUACCGUGGGAAUAAAGCAAUCGGCUAAACUCCGUG
RNAcentral lists this ribosomal RNA (493 nucleotides) under uncultured bacterium. RNAcentral describes it as "bacterial SSU rRNA". It matches the Rfam family "Bacterial small subunit ribosomal RNA", at positions 28 to 507 of the family's 1533-position model. The record is from RNAcentral.